GAAAUGUGAUAAGUAAUGUGAAUUGCAGAAUUCAGUGAAUCAUCGAAUCUUUGAACGCAUCUUGCGCUCGCUGGUAUUCCGGCGAGCAUGUCUGUUUGAGUGUCGUGAACUCUUCAAAUCCUUAAUUUUUUUUAUGAAUUUUAAGAUUUGGUUUUUGAAUAUUGUUGGAGAAUUUAAAUUCUCGAAACUUAUUCGUAAUACAUUAGCAUUCCCCAUUUCGAGAUCAGAUUGACUCGGCGUAAUAGAUUAUUCGCUGAGGAUUAUAGACUUGCGCUAUAAGCUGAACUUGUAAAUAUUUUUAGAAAGCUUCUAAUCACAUAAAUUCUAUAAGAUUUAGACCUCAGAUCAGGCAGGAUUACCCGCUGAACUUAA
This 372-nucleotide unclassified non-coding RNA is filed under the name uncultured Ustilentyloma. RNAcentral's name for it is "sequence contains ITS1". The stretch from base 1 to 105 matches the Rfam family "5.8S ribosomal RNA", at positions 50 to 154 of the family's 154-position model. The record is from RNAcentral. Lineage: Eukaryota; Fungi; Basidiomycota; Microbotryomycetes; Microbotryales.